This 440-nucleotide ribosomal RNA is filed under the name uncultured bacterium. RNAcentral describes it as "partial 16S ribosomal RNA". It matches the Rfam family "Bacterial small subunit ribosomal RNA", at positions 338 to 795 of the family's 1533-position model. The record is from RNAcentral.
CCUACGGGAGGCAACAGUGGGGAAUAUUGCACAAUGGGGGAAACCCUGAUGCAGCGACGCCGCGUGAGUGAAGAAGUAAUUCGUUAUGUAAAGCUCUAUCAUCAGGGAAGAAAAUGACGGUACCUGAGUAAGAAGCCCCGGCUAACUACGUGCCAGCAGCCGCGGUAAUACGUAGGGGGCAAGCGUUAUCAGGAUUUACUGGUUGUAAAGGGAGCGUAGACGGCAGUGCAAGUCUGGAGUGAAAGGCGCGGGCUCAACCCCCGGACUGCACUGGAAACUGUACGGCUGGAGUGCAGGAGAGGUAAGUGGAAUUCCGAGUGUAGCGGUGAAAUGCGUAGAUAUUAGGAGGAACACCAGUGGCGAAGGCGGCUUACUGGACUGUAACUGACGUUGAGGCUCGAAAGCGUGGGGAGCAAACAGGAUUAGAUACCCUAGUAGUC